UGAAUUAGAAGAUAAAGCUACUCUGUAUUCAAUUUUGCUGUCCUUUCUCGUUGAUUUAAGACCGCUAAAUGUAAUUUAAAAACCGAACGCAAUAAUUUAUCUU
This is a long non-coding RNA of Haliotis rubra (blacklip abalone), 103 nucleotides long. RefSeq lists it as uncharacterized. NCBI's taxonomy places the organism in Eukaryota, Metazoa, Mollusca, Gastropoda, Lepetellida, Haliotidae. The record is from RefSeq and is a predicted model, not a curated record. The transcript has 3 exons.